This 77-nucleotide transfer RNA is filed under the name Gammaproteobacteria bacterium. RNAcentral describes it as "tRNA-Arg". It matches the Rfam family "tRNA". From Rfam's summary of the family: Transfer RNA (tRNA) molecules are approximately 80 nucleotides in length. Their secondary structure includes four short double-helical elements and three loops (D, anti-codon, and T loops). Lineage: Bacteria; Pseudomonadati; Pseudomonadota; Gammaproteobacteria. The record is from RNAcentral.
GUCCCCGUGGCACAACUGGAUAGCGCAAUGCCCUCCUAAGGCGUAGGUUAGAGGUUCAAAUCCUCUCGGGGACGCCA